UACGUAGGGUCCGAGCGUUGUCCGGAAUUACUGGGCGUAAAGAGCUCGUAGGUGGUUUGUCGCGUUGUUCGUGAAAACUCACAGCUCAACUGUGAGCUUGCGGGCGAUACGGGCAGACUAGAGUACUGCAGGGAGACUGGAAUUCCUGGUGUAGCGGUGAAAUGCGCAGAUAUCAGGAAGAACACCAAUGGCGAAGGCAGCUCUCUGGGACGGUACUGACGCUGAGACGCGAAAGCGUGGGGAGCGAACAGG
This 252-nucleotide ribosomal RNA is filed under the name uncultured bacterium. Its description in RNAcentral is "partial 16S ribosomal RNA". It matches the Rfam family "Bacterial small subunit ribosomal RNA", at positions 524 to 776 of the family's 1533-position model. The record is from RNAcentral.